UAGCCGUAAACGAUACUCGCUAGGUGUCGGCCACGGUGCGACCGUUGUCGGUGCCGUAGGGAAGCCGUGAAGCGAGCCACCUGGGAAGUACGGCCGCAAGGCUGAAACUUAAAGGAAUUGGCGGGGAGCACAACAACGGGUGGAGCUUGCGGUUUAAUUGGAUUCAACGCCGGAAAUCUUACCGGGACCGACAGCAACAUGAAGGCCAAGCUGAAGACUUUGCCGGAUUAGCUGAGAGGUGGUGCAUGGCGUAGUCG
RNAcentral lists this ribosomal RNA (257 nucleotides) under uncultured archaeon. RNAcentral describes it as "partial 16S ribosomal RNA". It matches the Rfam family "Archaeal small subunit ribosomal RNA", at positions 748 to 1006 of the family's 1478-position model. The record is from RNAcentral.